RNAcentral lists this long non-coding RNA (2247 nucleotides) under Homo sapiens (human). RNAcentral describes it as "HSALNT0385842". Lineage: Eukaryota; Metazoa; Chordata; Mammalia; Primates; Hominidae. The record is from RNAcentral.
GGCUGAGCCAUCACCCAGCACCAGGUUCCGGUGAGGACCAUAGCAACUCCUGUCCGCACUUUGCAUACUUACAUUAGUUUCCUGAAGAAUUCUCCCAUUGUGCCUUGCCCGACAUCUGAGAGCAGUGAGUGGUCUGCCUGGCAUUGAAAAGGAAAAAGUUUCUGGAAGACCCACCUGGGGCUAGAAGCCUUGAAGUUGCUGCCCUGUUCUCUAGCCACUUGGGAGGACAAGUGUCAUCGCAAUCCCUAAGGGAGGACAGAAGUCAUUCACGGCACUCUACAGAAGCCAGAAGAUGUGCUUAUAGGCGGUGUUGGGUGUUGUCUUGAGCCCACAGUGGGCCUAAGCUGUACUGGGGAUGUUCGAUGAAAGCAGAGAGAGAAAUAAAAGAUCAUGCAGGAACUUCCAUGAGGAUAGGAAGACAAGAAAGGUCAACACACAGCACGGCCAACAAGCAAGACAGUCUAAGAAUGAACAUGGUGACUUAAAAGAUGACAUGGGGGCUGCAGGGAGGGAGAAACAAACGGGGAGGGAAGCACAAGUCUUGUGAGUGUCUUUUUGGAGAGACAGGACUGAGAUGGGUCUCCAAGAUAAAUUUAGUUUUGGAUCAGGACAGGAAAAGAGAGAAAGGCCCUGAUCUGAGGGUAAGGACGAGAUGCACAAAGAGCAGCACAUUCUGUAACAUGUCAGUAGUGAGUAGAGCUUGCUCUGAAAUGAUCCUGCAUAAUAUUAAAAUCACCCUUGAUAAAAGAUGUGCAGCCAGUCUGGAAACGCCAACAGUGAUUGAGCAUAUAGGUGAUGGGGUUUGCAUGUUUGUUAAUUUAUCUGUUGUUUUUCUUUUUUAUCUUUCCACUAUGAAUAUGUAGUACUUGUGCAUUUAAAAAAUGUUAUAAAUCUGCAAGUUAACAAAUCUAAUGCAUUUCCCUUCAAUCUCAUCAUCCCAAGACUAGACCUUUUUCGGACAGUGGCUUGAAGACAGACAGGCUCUCCUAAGAGAUGGAAGCCCAGGGUGUUCAGCCCCCACUGUCUAAGGCCCCCCAACUCCAGGAGCCCCAUAUGUUCCUACCAGACCAUAGGCUUAACUGGAUGUAGGCCAGGGGUGGGGGAAUGUGCUCUGCUUGGCAUUGUAAGGUGCCAGGCGCACCUGAGCAGCUGGACAGGUGUGACAGAUGCCCUGGAUUGCAUGGAGCUGGCUGUGCCUGUGCACACACACCCGUCUGCACCCCGUCCUCCCCUCCCUACACCUCCCUGUCUUCCCGGCUAGCUCAGGUGUGGUGCAUCUGUGGCCCAUUGGCAGCUCUCUUGCCCGCAGUGCACAGGGAGCUGUCAGGUUAAAAGCUGGCUUGCUCGAUUUGAUCCCACAUGCGAGCUGUUUUAUUUCCCUCUCUCUCCCUUACACGGCUUCGGUGUGCUUUUAUAAAUAUUUCACUAGCCUUGCUAAAGUCUAUUUCAUCUCUCUCUUAAAUUUAUUAAAUAUAAAUGCAGCAACAACUCUACCAUAAGUCUCUCUUUGCUGUCAAAAUCUCAGGCUCCCAUGGAAGUAAAUAUAAUUUGCUUUGUUUACCGUAGGUAACUUGGAGCCCUAUCUGCUAUCUCAACACCCCCUAAGCACCCCCAAAUCUCCCUGUUUUUGUUAGCAGGGGUCUGUCUCAUCCCAAUGUAGUGCACGGGGACACGGGUCACGCUUUGAAGAGGGCGUGACAAAGGGGCUGUUCUCCGACACUCGCAUGGCAGGGAAUUUCUUGGUCCGCUGGUCCCUCAAUGACACAAUCAAUGAGUAAAGGGGGAUACCUUUACUCAUCACCUCAGACCUGAGCACGCCCUGGGCCCCAUUUGGGCAGAGCUUUGCUCUUUGCUUUUCUUUUAAAGUAAAGGGCCCAUCUGCUGCAGCUAGUGACCUGGCCAAAAAAGACACAGACUGCUGUGAAAUGAUUGAGGGCAGUGACUCCCCUCCCACCCCAGGAGCCAGAGCCGACAGAGCCAAGAGCAAGGCAGGAAUUCAGGUCCCCAAAAGCAAGCCAGAAGCACCACCUCCAAGCGCCCUGCCACUUCCUUUGUUCUUUGUUAAUUGCAAAAUAAACACAACCCUGCCCACCGACUGUGGAGAAAGAUUUCUGCCAACUGGGGGACCCGGCAGGUAGUGGGCAGGCAUUUGCCCUCCAUCAACCACAUGUGAUUUCCUGGAGGAGAAGGGGCAGUAGAGAAGGGGCAGAGUGGCAGGGCUGGGAUGGACCUAGCUUAGGGCUUGUA